This 85-nucleotide transfer RNA is filed under the name Acidobacteriota bacterium. RNAcentral's name for it is "Acidobacteria bacterium (soil metagenome) tRNA-Leu". It matches the Rfam family "tRNA". From Rfam's summary of the family: Transfer RNA (tRNA) molecules are approximately 80 nucleotides in length. Their secondary structure includes four short double-helical elements and three loops (D, anti-codon, and T loops). Further hydrogen bonds mediate the characteristic L-shaped molecular structure. tRNAs have two regions of fundamental functional importance: the anti-codon, which is responsible for specific mRNA codon recognition, and the 3' end, to which the tRNAs corresponding amino acid is attached (by aminoacyl-tRNA synthetases). tRNAs cope with the degeneracy of the genetic code in two manners: having more than one tRNA (with a specific anti-codon) for a particular amino acid; and 'wobble' base-pairing, i.e. permitting non-standard base-pairing at the 3rd anti-codon position. Lineage: Bacteria; Pseudomonadati; Acidobacteriota. The record is from RNAcentral.
GCCGAGGUGGCGUAAUUGGUAGCCGCGCACGUUUGAGGGGCGUGUGGUGUAAACCGUACGAGUUCGAGUCUCGUCCUCGGCACCA